CUCCCCCAGCUCCAUCUCCAUCCACCCAUCCUCCCUUCUACUCAUAACCCUAUCAUCUCCUUUAACAACCCUCGAUUUCAUCAUCUGUUUCCUGUUUGAAUAGAACAGGUUCUCCAAUCGCUGUUUCUUGUCGUCUUGGCAUCGCAGCAAUCAGAACAGGGUUGCAGAGGAGGUGAUAAAGCUGUUUCUUUGAAGCAAACAAAAAAGUUGUAUUACAAGCCUUGGACACAAUUUCAUGGUAAUCAGAUGGCAAGAACUUGUCCCAAACCAAAUCAGAAUCCGCCGCCGAUCCGACAACAGUCGAAACCGACGAUGAUUUACAAGCAUCUGAAGGAGACGUGAGGGACAAAAUCACUGCAACACAGCUCUCUGGCAAUACGUUCAUGCCUGAAACUGAAACUUCUAUUUUUGGUUUUCUUAAUGGUGUUGAAAACAAUGAAAGAACAAAUAUAACCGAAAGAGGAAAAGAACUGUAUGAUGAUCCAAAGGAGAUUAUUGUGGGUCGUUUUCCCAGUGGGUAAUUUGCUGCUGGUAUAUGUGUGUAGAUUCCAGCGAAAUCAGUGAAACAGACGGGUAAAUAAAACAAAGCAAGGGGCUGUCUUGAUUAAAAUUCAGGGAUUCAUACUUUUCGUGUGUGCAUUUCAUGACUUGAAUACAUUCAAGUCAACAAAGGCCAAAGCAUAGCUUGCCCUUAUUUGAGGGAAUUAAUUUAAUAAUUGUUUAAUAAAUCAACUUCCAGAAUUUUCAA
Molecule: long non-coding RNA, 748 nt
Organism: Gossypium raimondii (Peruvian cotton)
Lineage: Eukaryota; Viridiplantae; Streptophyta; Magnoliopsida; Malvales; Malvaceae
Exons: 2
Source: RefSeq, a predicted model, not a curated record